AGCCCGAGCCCGGGACUUGGAGCGUCUGGUUCCGUUCCUCCUUUCUCCACCCCCCCGGUCCGGCUUUUAACUUUUUCUUCGUCUUGGAUUUAUCACCCGGCUCUGGACCUUCGCUUGACUGGACUUCCUUUUGGACUGUUCGCCUGAACCACGCCCCCCGGAGCGCUUUCGUCACGCCCCCCCGGUUCCUCGUCUCCCCCCUCCGCGCUCUGCCCACGUACAAGCCGAAACCAGCAGACUCAGCACAAUCGACAGGCUCUGUGCCGUGUUAUUGACUCCCAGCGCUGGAGACGGCGCUUUCCGGAGCUCUCUGCACGGCUCGCACCACACUGCAGCUGGGACACUUCCUGACGCCUGCCAGAGCCAGGCAUGCAGAUCUCCAGCCUCAGACUGAGAGACAAAUGAGAUGUCAGUUGGACACGAUUAGCCAAGGAGGCCAGAAGCAAGGCUCUGGGGUCGAGCAUUGACGGAGCGCAGGUUCAGAGGUCUAACAGAAUGAAGGAACAAGUCUUGCAGCAGGCUGGCAGAACUAGACAGCCUACCAUAUGAAGAAAAACACAGCUUUAUUUUCAGCACAAGGAACUCCAGAAAUGUUUUUUUUUUAUUUCAAAUUAUUUUAUGGUGUGUUUUUAAAGAUGGUCAGCGAAAAAGAGGAGAUGGAGAUUGAUAUGGAUACUAGUUACACACUGAUCGGGGCUUACAGUCCAGAAUUCUGCUACACAUAAGAUCACAGCCACUGGCCAUUCAGCAGAUCACAUCAUGUGCUAAUUUACUUUUCAAUGUUCCUUUAUAUAUUGUAACACGUUGUGAAAGCAGUUAAAAGUCACAGGGCUAAAUCAAGUGCAGUCAAGUGCAAAUUCUCCUGUUCGACGUUGUAAUCUCAGGUUCUGCCAUUUCAGUGUGCCAGUCUCACACCUGGGUUUGGGAGGAAGUAUGAAGGACGACAAGACUUCAGACAGUUUCUUCCUGGUUUCUUUCUUUACAAAACCGCCUCUUUCCUCACAGCCACAGAAAUGUUUUCUGCACAAUGUUUUCUUUUUCUCAAGGGUUGCAGUAUUUUUCUAUAUGAUUAAACAGGAGACACGACCCUGCAUUCUUCUCAGUCACCAAAAGCACUUUCUCACAGACUUUCUAAUGAGCUGUGCAGUCGAUGAUGCUCAUCAGAAAAGAAUCUGAUCCAUUGAGUUGCUCAGUUGUCAGUACAUUUUAUGAUGCAAAACCUUUUUAUGGCAAUUUUCCAUCCACAGUACCAAGAAAUUCCAGUAAAUGUACUUAUAUAUAGCAUUUUUGUGGUUACAGUUCCACUUGUGUGUGAUUUCUCCAUCUAUAUUUCAUCUUACAGUACAAAAUGUAUAGCAGUGUUGAAAUUCCUUCACCUCUCUGCUCCCUUCUGAUGCCUAUAAAAUCUACCACAGCUCUUGUUCAUAGUCCCAUCGUGCUCAUUUACUAUUCAAUACGCUCAUUCUACUGUAGGGACCGUCAGUAUUUUGGAAACAGCAGCAUGGAACAUAUUUCAGUUUUAGACAUUAAAUACAAAAUCCAAAGCUUAAUGAGAUAGAGAUAGAACGGGAAGUGUAUUACGGGAGUAAUGAGCAAUAAAUCUGUUAUAUAUUAUUUAUCUUCAUAAAGUUUUUUUCACAAUUAUUAAAAGUUUCCUUUCUUUGUUCAGAGUAUUUGUUCAGAAUGUUCUUUUCACAUAAAUAAUGUCCAGAAUGCCAAUACUGAGUGUCCAGUGUCUUUCUAGAGUGACAAAUAAUUACUUCAUUUCGUGUUUUACACUGCUGCUGACUUGUUUAUGUGUCAGAAGCACACAGAGGUACAACACCACAUUUCAGGACAUUCUGGCUAUGCUCUGAGGGAUGAGCAACUCGUGAAGUGAGAGGAUAUGUCAGCCAUAAUUUUUGUUUGGGCGUGGGGAUGCCAGACUUCUCUGAAGGAUCUCUGACAGGACUAUGGAGUGCUUGGUCGAACAAUACAGUCAACUCAUGACCUGUGAGAGACAUGAUUGGGCCCAAAACGCAAGCCAGCAAUUCAGUCAAGCUGAAUGUAUUUAAUGUCCCCUGAUAUAAAUAAUAGUUUUGGGAACUGACAAUUAUUUUUCCUAGCUCUCCAAACCACAGUCACCCACUGUUAAUCAUCUUA
Lepisosteus oculatus (spotted gar) is the source of this 2142-nucleotide long non-coding RNA. RefSeq lists it as uncharacterized. NCBI's taxonomy places the organism in Eukaryota, Metazoa, Chordata, Actinopteri, Semionotiformes, Lepisosteidae. The record is from RefSeq and is a predicted model, not a curated record.